This 56-nucleotide ribosomal RNA is filed under the name uncultured bacterium. RNAcentral describes it as "partial 16S ribosomal RNA". The record is from RNAcentral.
UACAUUUGACAUACUUGGCAAAACUAUAGAGAUAUAGCGGAGGUUAACCAAUGUAC